Molecule: long non-coding RNA, 548 nt
Organism: Zea mays
Lineage: Eukaryota; Viridiplantae; Streptophyta; Magnoliopsida; Poales; Poaceae
Exons: 2
Source: RefSeq, marked validated
CUGCUCUGCUCAGCGCUCCAUGUCGUGCCCCAAAUUCCGUGACUCAUCUUCCUUCUCUUUGCCAGGCUGCGCGUGCAUACCACGGACGGACGCACUGCCCCCAAUCUACUGUCGUCAAAACGCCGACGGUGGUUAAGAUACACCGCUCUCCUUUGAUAUGACGAAGGGACGACAAGGCAGAGAAGCAACGACGUAGAGAAUUGAGAAGAAGAGGACGAGUCGGUUGCUAUUCGCAUCUGUCCUCCUGAAAGGGAAAUGUGCCCUUGGGCCAUUUCUAAGUGUUUUGGUGAUUUAGUGUCCAACACAAAUGCCUAAGUGUUAAAAGGUGGACAAAGUACAAAUCAAGAAUAAAGGUAUGUUUCUCAGACUUAGUACAUUGAUUUAUGGACUAAUGUAUUGUGUCUAAGUGCUGGAAACAGGAAAAAUCCAAUUGGAAAUGUCUUGGCUCGAGCAGCCAAGAAUCUGCUGAGUCUGGGAGCACCGGACUGUCCGGUGGUGCACCGGACAGUGUCCGGUGGUGCACCGGAUAGUGUCCGGUGCGUCAGGCU